Equus caballus (horse) is the source of this 1645-nucleotide long non-coding RNA. NCBI's taxonomy places the organism in Eukaryota, Metazoa, Chordata, Mammalia, Perissodactyla, Equidae. The record is from Ensembl.
GUCAGGGAGGGAACCUACUGUACCAUUUACCCCUAAGCAACAUCCCUGUGCAUUAUAUGCAAGUGGGCUUUUUGUACAAGUAGCUCUGAUCUCUCUACACAAUUCCUCUAUCUUACUUAACACAGUAAAUUGCCACACACGCACUCAUCCAAGGUGAAUCAUGAUUUAAUCCCAGGUGAAUGCAACCCAUCCCCUGGCAGUGCGCUACAGCCUUGCUACUCAAAAGUGUGGUCCAAAACCCACCUGCAGGGACAUCACGUGGGAGAUGGUUGAAAAAGCAGAAUCCAGGAGCCCACCCUAGGUCUACUUAACUCCAUUCAUAAACAAACUGUUGAAAAAGAAGCACAAGACAAAGACCUAUGAUACUGGACAAGAAAACAAAAGUUCUGGGAGUUGGAUUUGAGAUGAUUAUUUUUUGUAUAGGUUUUCUACUUAAACUCAAUUUAGAUCAUGUUUACUCAUCACGUGGGAAGAGAACAUCAGGCUCCUUCAGCUUCACAGCACUCAACUUAUAAGAUCAAACAUACACAGAGUUUACUGCUAGGGCCUGGGAAAAUUCCAACAGAAACCCUGGAGAGAGAGAGAUCCCCUGCGGUGGUACCAUCUCUUCUGGCUGGGAGAUUGAUGUGGAAACUGGGGAAAGAAUAUUCAGGCUGAAAUGAAUAGAAAGAGCUCUAUAAAUGAGUAACAGGAUAAUUAAAGCAUGAAGCUUUCUACAUCUCGAGAUAAUGGUAAUGGAGUUCAAGCUACUGAUAGCAUCUUUUAGAGUUUGCCAGUUUGUGAGGAAUGGAGCCAAGUUAAGAAUAGACCAUCAAUCAACCCUAUAAAGAAGUUUGUGUGUCCAUUAAGUGUUCUGCAAUUACCAGAAGUACCCACCUAUUUUCAGAAAAAGGCUGAGAAAGAAAGGAGGAAAAAGCCUCUCCAAAUACAAUUUUUGCCACACCUCUGGAGAACACCCAACUUCAUGAUGUCAGGAGGAAGCAAGUUUGGGCCAUGAAAAGAGCAUCCCAUUGUGGUAAUUUGCAACUCAUUCUCCUUUACUCUCCCCCCUACUGUGUCCCUGUUUCUUGCAGAGUCAGCAAACCAGAAUCACCUCACCCUGUCUUUUGUGGGGCCUCCCACAUUGACAACUGAUAUCUGUAAUCUUUCUGUUGUCUUCUAUUCUCGGUGAAACAAGCUAACCAAAAACUCAUUGGAUGUUGGUAUCAUAUAAACUAUGACCCUUCCAUCCAUUAAUCUGAUCACCUGCUGUGAGGGAAGCCAUUUUGUGAGGACAUUUGAGCAGCCUGUGGAAAGGUACAUGUAGCAAGGAACUGAGGUCUCCUGCUGACAGCCUGCAUCAACUCACCAGCCAUGUGAGAGAGGCACCUUGGAAGCAGUGCCUCCAGCCCCAGUCAAGCCUUCAGAUGACCACAUCUUGGCUGACAUCUAGACCACACCCUCACAAGACACCUUCAGCCACAGCCACCCCACCAAACCACUUCUAAAUUCCUGACCUACAGAAACUGAAAACAUUCACAUUAUAUUGUGGUUUUAAGCUGCUAGGCUUUGAAGUAAUUUGUACACAGUAAUAUUUAACAAAUACCAGCACUCAGGAAAUACAUGUUGAACAAAUGAACAAAUAAACGAGUGAAUUAGAUUCACA